This 259-nucleotide ribosomal RNA is filed under the name uncultured Enterobacteriaceae bacterium. RNAcentral describes it as "partial 16S ribosomal RNA". It matches the Rfam family "Bacterial small subunit ribosomal RNA", at positions 355 to 606 of the family's 1533-position model. Lineage: Bacteria; Pseudomonadati; Pseudomonadota; Gammaproteobacteria; Enterobacterales; Enterobacteriaceae. The record is from RNAcentral.
UGGGGAAUAUUGCACAAUGGGCGCAAGCCUGAUGCAGCCAUGCCGCGUGUAUGAAGAAGGCCUUCGGGUUGUAAAGUACUUUUAGCGAGGAGGAAGGCAUUAAGGUUAAUAACCUUGGUGAUUGACGUUACUCGCAGAAGAAGCACCGGCUAACUCCGUGCCAGCAGCCGCGGUAAUACGGAGGGUGCAAGCGUUAAUCGGAAUUACUGGGCGUAAAGCGCACGCAGGCGGUCUGUCAAGUCGGAUGUGAAAUCCCGGC